GCGGGGCCUCGGCUUCUGGGUAGCUGCCGUUGCUGUGCCAGGCAAAAAAAAAACAUUUCCCAUCUCUAAGGGGGGAAGGAGACCCAGCUACCAGGGAAAUCGGCACUGAAGGGACUCCAUAUUGCUGUUCUGCAACAGCUGAUCGUUGCAGAGCAGGGUGAGCGCCUCCAUGCAUUGGUAACCACGCCCACCCCUUCCGGCCUCUCCCAGUGCACACCCCGAUCCAGUCCUUACUUGAAGCUCCUGUCCCACACUGAUGACGGCUGAAGUAAAGAGCCGCCUCUGCAGGACUCUCGCACCUAUUGGCAGUGACGUCUCCCAUGCAGGCCCCGCUGUCCGUCGUUUCUGGACUCGCGCAAGCGCAGUCCAAAUUUUACGGAGGGACCCGUAAAAACUGGGAGUUAAACCAAGGUUUGCGGGGCAGCGGGAGACUCAAGGUACAGUAUAACCAGAACAAUUUGGAUUCUUAGAUCCAGGGCACAGCCGCCAAACUCGGACUUCAUUACACCCCGGCCACAGUAUGUGUUGGUCAAAUAGCAUAAUGCCUGAAAGGCUGAAGUGAUAAUUGAAGACAAAUGUCUCAUCAUGUGGAAAUGACAGAGUACAACAGUGGUCAGUGAAACCCUGAUUAAGCUUAGCUUGGCCUCCAACAGCUAGCAAGAAAAGAGACCUGCAGAUGACGAAAGUGGCCAUCAGGACUAUUCUAUUCACACUUAGCUGGAGGCAUCCUGCAUUCCGUUAAUUGUUAAUCUGGGAGCAAUAUCCUGCUGAAAGAGGCCACUGCCAUCAGAGAAUACUGCCUCCAUGAACAGGACUGGCAUUGAAUCUACAGAAAAUAACACUGGGAAAACGGUAAUUAUGAGACACCUGAUGACUACUUGUAUGAAUUGAACUAGACAUGGAUGUUUGUAAACCAAGCAGUGCUCUAGAAAUAGUCUGAGCACUGUGGCAGCUUAGACGGUGUUACCGUGAAACAGACUUAAACCGCCUCACGUUAUUUCCAUGCAGCGGACAAAUAGGACUUCAAAUCAGCCAUCACACCUGCCAGCAUCGCUCAAAGGGGAUCAGGGCAGAGAUCCUUAUUUGGACCCGUAUGUACAAGACACACUGUGCAAGUAGAUGCUGUUCCAGUUAUUAUGCAUAGA
This is a long non-coding RNA of Pseudophryne corroboree (corroboree frog), 1145 nucleotides long. RefSeq lists it as uncharacterized. The transcript is spliced from 4 exons. The record is from RefSeq and is a predicted model, not a curated record. Lineage: Eukaryota; Metazoa; Chordata; Amphibia; Anura; Myobatrachidae.